RNAcentral lists this ribosomal RNA (503 nucleotides) under uncultured bacterium. Its description in RNAcentral is "partial 16S ribosomal RNA". It matches the Rfam family "Bacterial small subunit ribosomal RNA", at positions 30 to 523 of the family's 1533-position model. The record is from RNAcentral.
AUUGAACGCUGGCGGCAGGCUUAACACAUGCAAGUCGAGCGGGGUGAUGGUGCUUGCACUAUCACUUAGCGGCGGACGGGUGAGUAAUGCUUAGGAAUCUGCCUAUUAGUGGGGGACAACAUCUCGAAAGGGAUGCUAAUACCGCAUACGUCCUACGGGAGAAAGCAGGGGAUCACUUGUGACCUUGCGCUAAUAGAUGAGCCUAAGUCGGAUUAGCUAGUUGGUGGGGUAAAGGCCUACCAAGGCGACGAUCUGUAGCGGGUCUGAGAGGAUGAUCCGGCACACUGGGACUGAGACACGGCCCAGAGUCCUACGGGAGGCAGCAGUGGGGAAUAUUGGGCAAUGGGGUGAACCCUGAUCCAGCCAUGCCGCGUGUGUGAAGAAGGCCUUAUGGUUGUAAAGCACUUUAAGCGAGGAGGAGGCUCUUUUGGUUAAUACCCAAGAUGAGUGGACGUUACUCGCAGAAUAAGCACCGGCUAACUCUGUGCCAGCCGCCGCGGUAA